AGAGUUUGAUCAUGGCUCAGGACGAACGCUGGCGGCGUGCUUAACACAUGCAAGUCGAACGGAAAGGCCCUGCUUUUGUGGGGUGCUCGAGUGGCGAACGGGUGAGUAACACGUGAGUAACCUGCCCUUGACUUUGGGAUAACUUCAGGAAACUGGGGCUAAUACCGGAUAGGAGCUCCUGCUGCAUGGUGGGGGUUGGAAAGUUUCGGCGGUUGGGGAUGGACUCGCGGCUUAUCAGCUUGUUGGUGGGGUAGUGGCUUACCAAGGCUUUGACGGGUAGCCGGCCUGAGAG
This 292-nucleotide ribosomal RNA is filed under the name uncultured Propionibacterium sp. RNAcentral's name for it is "partial 16S ribosomal RNA". It matches the Rfam family "Bacterial small subunit ribosomal RNA", at positions 8 to 298 of the family's 1533-position model. The record is from RNAcentral. Lineage: Bacteria; Bacillati; Actinomycetota; Actinomycetes; Propionibacteriales; Propionibacteriaceae.